CGCCGUGCGCGCAGCUUCCGGAAGGCGUCCACUACACGACACGAGGUUCUGGAAGUGAGAGGCGCCGGGUCUGAAUUGCCUGUGCGGUGGUCGGCGUGAUGCCCAAGGCCAAGGGGAAGACCCGGCGGCAGAAGUUCGGUUACAGUGUUAACCGGAAGCGUCUGAACCGGAGUGCUCGACGGAAGGCAGCCCCGCGGAUCGAGUGCUCCCACAUCCGACAUGCCUGGGACCACACCAAGUCCGUGCGGCAGAACCUGGCCGAGAUGGGCUUGGCUAUGGACCCCAACAAGGCGGUGCCCCUCCGUAAGAGAAAGGUCCAGGCCAUGGAGGUGGACGUAGACGAGAGACGGCAGCUCGUACGGAAGCCCUAUGUGCUGAAUGACCUCGAGGCAGAAGCCAGCCUCCCGGAAAAGAAAGGAAAUACGCUGUCUCGGGACCUCAUAGACUACGUACGCUACAUGGUGGAGAACCAUGGGGAGGACUACAAGGCUAUGGCCCGGGAUGAGAAGAAUUAUUAUCAAGAUACCCCGAAACAGAUUCGGAAUAAGAUUAACGUCUAUAAGCGCUUUUACCCAGCGGAGUGGGAAGCCUUCGCUCAUUCUUUGCAGAAGAAUGCGAUGGAGGUUGCGUGACUGGUGUACGCCUGCCCCAGGCUGAAGCCUCCUCCUGGACCCGAGAAGCUGGGGCCAGGGUUUAAGGGUCCUCUGCUAUCUACACAGAAGGGAUCUGACAUACCGAUGGAGGUACAGUUCAUGUGGAUCAGUGUGAACUCUCCUGGUAUCAUUAUAUCAAAGGGCGGGGGAGCUACAGCCUGGCUCCUUGACCUGCAUAACUUAUCACUGUCAUUAAUGAUUCCAGCCAUUUUCCUCAAAGAUCCAGAUUUUCCAUGACAGUCAUCUGGGGUUUUGAUAGCAGCACCUAGAAACAGAGGCUAAAUCUUUGGCCUGUUCCUUUUAUAAAUAAAUAAUCACAAUGCAGUUCUAGAUCAAG
RNA transcript from Myotis lucifugus (little brown bat), 990 nucleotides. It is a transcript of the gene named NOP16 nucleolar protein, with no coding region annotated. Lineage: Eukaryota; Metazoa; Chordata; Mammalia; Chiroptera; Vespertilionidae. The transcript has 6 exons. The record is from RefSeq and is a predicted model, not a curated record.